This 1208-nucleotide ribosomal RNA is filed under the name metagenome. RNAcentral describes it as "bacterial SSU rRNA". It matches the Rfam family "Bacterial small subunit ribosomal RNA", at positions 298 to 1498 of the family's 1533-position model. The record is from RNAcentral.
GGAUGAUCCGCCACACUGGGACUGAGACAGGGCCCAGACUCCUACGGGAGGCAGCAGUGGGGAAUUUUGGACAAUGGGCGCAAGCCUGAUCCAGCCAUGCCGCGUGAGUGAAGAAGGCCUUCGGGUUGUAAAGCUCUUUCGGUGGGGAAGAAAUCGCAUUCUUUAAUAGAGGGUGUGGAUGACGGUACCCACAUAAGAAGCACCGGCUAACUACGUGCCAGCAGCCGCGGUAAUACGUAGGGUGCGAGCGUUAAUCGGAAUUACUGGGCGUAAAGCGUGCGCAGGCGGUUGUGUAAGUCAGAUGUGAAAUCCCCGGGCUCAACCUGGGAACUGCAUUCGAGACUGCACGGCUAGAGUGUGGCAGAGGGGGGUGGAAUUCCACGUGUAGCAGUGAAAUGCGUAGAGAUGUGGAGGAACACCGAUGGCGAAGGCAGCCCCCUGGGCCAAGACUGACGCUCAUGCACGAAAGCGUGGGGAGCAAACAGGAUUAGAUACCCUGGUAGUCCACGCCCUAAACGAUGUCAACUAGAUGUUGGAAGGGUUAAACCUUUUAGUGUCGCAGCUAACGCGUGAAGUUGACCGCCUGGGGAGUACGGCCGCAAGGCUAAAACUCAAAGGAAUUGACGGGGACCCGCACAAGCGGUGGAUGAUGUGGAUUAAUUCGAUGCAACGCGAAAAACCUUACCUACCCUUGACAUGUCAGGAACCCUGGAGAGAUCUGGGGGUGCCCGAAAGGGAGCCUGAACACAGGUGCUGCAUGGCUGUCGUCAGCUCGUGUCGUGAGAUGUUGGGUUAAGUCCCGCAACGAGCGCAACCCUUGUCGUUAAUUGCCAUCAUUGAGUUGGGCACUUUAAUGAGACUGCCGGUGACAAACCGGAGGAAGGUGGGGAUGACGUCAAGUCCUCAUGGCCCUUAUGGGUAGGGCCUCACACGUCAUACAAUGGUCGGUUCAGAGGGUUGCCAAGCCGCGAGGCGGAGCUAAUCUCAGAAAGCCGAUCGUAGUCCGGAUUGCAGUCUGCAACUCGACUGCAUGAAGUCGGAAUCGCUAGUAAUCGCGGAUCAGCAUGCCGCGGUGAAUACGUUCCAGGGUCUUGUACACACCCCCGUCACACCAUGGGAGCGGGUUCUGCCAGAAGUAGUUAGCCUAACCGUGAGGAGGGCGAUUACCACGGCAGGGUUCGUGACUGGGGUGAAGUCGUAACAAGGUA